RNAcentral lists this ribosomal RNA (528 nucleotides) under Rhizopus delemar. RNAcentral describes it as "eukaryotic LSU rRNA". The stretch from base 178 to 331 matches the Rfam family "5.8S ribosomal RNA". Lineage: Eukaryota; Fungi; Mucoromycota; Mucoromycetes; Mucorales; Rhizopodaceae. The record is from RNAcentral.
UUACCUUAGGGUUUCCUCUGGGGUAAGUGAUUGCUUCUACACUGUGAAAAUUUGGCUGAGAGACUCAGACUGGUCAUGGGUAGACCUAUCUGGGGUUUGAUCGAUGCCACUCCUGGUUUCAGGAGCACCCUUCAUAAUAAACCUAGAAAUUCAGUAUUAUAAAGUUUAAUAAAAAACAACUUUUAACAAUGGAUCUCUUGGUUCUCGCAUCGAUGAAGAACGUAGCAAAGUGCGAUAACUAGUGUGAAUUGCAUAUUCAGUGAAUCAUCGAGUCUUUGAACGCAGCUUGCACUCUAUGGUUUUUCUAUAGAGUACGCCUGCUUCAGUAUCAUCACAAACCCACACAUAACAUUUGUUUAUGUGGUAAUGGGUCGCAUCGCUGUUUUAUUACAGUGAGCACCUAAAAUGUGUGUGAUUUUCUGUCUGGCUUGCUAGGCAGGAAUAUUACGCUGGUCUCAGGAUCUUUUUCUUUGGUUCGCCCAGGAAGUAAAGUACAAGAGUAUAAUCCAGCAACUUUCAAACUAUGAU